ACAAUAGAGGUGCAAAAAACAGGGUAAUCGACUUCGGAGCUGCAGGGGGCUCGAUGGAGGUCGGUGAAGGGGUUUUUUGCCGAAGGUGCGCGCUCCUCCUGUGGCGCGUUCCUGGGGGUGCCGUGUAAGCUGCACAACUGUCAUGUCGUAUUGCAGACAUGGAGCGCUAUUGGU
This 174-nucleotide non-coding RNA is filed under the name human gut metagenome. RNAcentral describes it as "Lysine riboswitch". It matches the Rfam family "Lysine riboswitch aptamer". Rfam says of the family: Riboswitches are metabolite binding domains within certain messenger RNAs that serve as precision sensors for their corresponding targets. Allosteric rearrangement of mRNA structure is mediated by ligand binding, and this results in modulation of gene expression. This family includes riboswitches that sense lysine in a number of genes involved in lysine metabolism, including lysC. The record is from RNAcentral. RNAcentral also lists the same sequence under 1 other name.